Molecule: ribosomal RNA, 496 nt
Filed under: uncultured bacterium
Lineage: Bacteria
Description: partial 16S ribosomal RNA
Rfam family: Bacterial small subunit ribosomal RNA
Source: RNAcentral
AACGAACGCUGGCGGCGUGCCUAACACAUGCAAGUCGAGCGAGAAAGACCUUCGGGUCGAGUACAGCGGCGGACGGGUGAGUAACGCGUGAGAAUCUACCCUUUAGUGAAGGAUACCCUCGAGAAAUUGAGGUUAAUACUGCAUACGUUCCUUCGGGAAGAAAAGUGGCCUCUUUGCUGCUGCUAAUGGAUGAGCUUGCGUACUAUUAUCUAGUUGGUGGGGUAAAGGCCUACCAAGGCGAAGCUGGUUAGCCGGCCUGAGAGGGUGUACGGCCAGUCUGGAAGCGAGACUCGGCCCAGCCUCCUACGGGAGGCAGUCGUGUGGCAUAUGGGACAAAGGUGGGAUCCCUGACCCAGCCAUACCGCGUGUGUGAAGAAGGCCUUAUCGUUGUAAAGCACUUUAAGCGAGGAGGAGGCUCUUUUGGUUAAUAACCACGAUGAGUGGCCGUUACUCGCAGACUAAGCACCGGCUAACUCUGUGCCAGCCGCCGCCGUAA